Molecule: long non-coding RNA, 187 nt
Organism: Nicotiana attenuata
Lineage: Eukaryota; Viridiplantae; Streptophyta; Magnoliopsida; Solanales; Solanaceae
Exons: 3
Source: RefSeq, a predicted model, not a curated record
GAGGAAAUUAAGCUUCUCUGCCAUGGGAGUAAUCCAUGCUCUCCACACCGCCUUUGGCAUUUUAGGAAUUUUAAAUAGUUUGUUACUCCUCUUGGCGCCUAUGAUUACCUUUCAGAGGGUGAUUAGAAAGAGAUCGACUGAAAUUUUUUCAGGCAUACCAUAUGUUAUUAGUCUGUUCAACUGCUUG